ACAUUAUUUGUCAAUUUAUAAAUAGUCGUGUUCUGUGUCGGUGCUGGUCAUUUAUUAAGGAGUAACAUUUAGGCAAUUCAAUUCACAUGUGGUAUUGGCCUCGUGUGGAACGUACAAUAUGUAUGUGAUUAUGUGAUAUUUUGUGUGUGACCUAUGAUAUUUUCACGUCCGUCAAAAGUAAAAUCUUUUUGUCAUGGCAACACCACUGGGACUUCAUAACACCUACCAACAAACUUAAGGCAAUACAUUUUAUUGAAUAAAAAGUUCAGUGAAACAGUGGUAUACACCUGCUGACCUCAGCUGACGUCAAUAUAUUGCGAUCAUUCGUAUAAGAAUCGGCCACACUUUCACUACACACUCCUUCCUAAUCAGCAAAGACCAUCCACCUACAUGUAGCACAUGUCAAACUCGCAUCACUAUAAAACACAUACUCCAAGAUUGCCCCACAUACGAACCAAAAGUCUACAACAAAGUCUCUCAACUUUCCGCAUGCCAUCUAGGAAAUCCUCGACGAAGGACAAACACAUCAAGUUCAUCAGUAUAUGCAACCUUAUCAACAAAUUAUGAUUCAGCAAAUCUAUCUUGUUUUUAUUAGAUUAAAUUAUUUGCAUGUUUGACAACAUUUUGCUGGUUAAACGUAACAUGCUUUGAUGUUUACUAGAUGUUAAGGUUUGGAAAUAAUCAAAUGCAAUACAGCAUAUUUAAUAUUUACCAUAUAAAAUACCAUAUACUGAGGUUUCAAUUGAUGCCGGGAGUACCUUAUCUAGUUGGUAUAGAAGUCUGUGACAAUUCCGAGCCGUUUUUAUUCAUAUCGAACUGUUUUGCGAGUGUACGUGUUGGACGUCGACUUUGCGUGUGCUUCCUCCCCCCCCUCCGACCAACAUAUCGGCUAGACUGGUGAUUUACACGAGUGUGCUGGCACGGCGGCACAACUGCAACUAGUUGUCGUGUUUCUCUUGUCGUCGGACGUCGAAGGUGUUGCGGUUUCUUAGCAGCAGUAUUUACCUCAGUAUCAAGAGUCACUGUUUUGCGUCGCGAUCGUUAUACCAUGGUAUAAGUUCACGAUCGUAAUACUAUAAUAUAAGUUCCCGAUUGCCGCUUGCCACCGCCAGGCUGAUCACCCGGAAUAACUCGUCCACCGCCUAUUCCGAUCACCACCGCCGACCAACAACAUCAUCGCCUCCGUCGUUAUAUAUUUUAUGAACUCCAAAACCUGGACUUCAUAUACCAAUUACAAUGCAAAAUAAAAAGGAAAAAAAAGAAUCUGGAAGAUGUGAAAAACUUGCUAAAUACGAAUA
Long non-coding RNA from Acyrthosiphon pisum (pea aphid), 1298 nucleotides. RefSeq lists it as uncharacterized. The transcript has 4 exons. NCBI's taxonomy places the organism in Eukaryota, Metazoa, Arthropoda, Insecta, Hemiptera, Aphididae. The record is from RefSeq and is a predicted model, not a curated record.